CCCAGACUGAUCCUUUGCAUGGAUUUUGCUGCGCCUGUUUCCAAGGCUUAGAGCUCUUUAGGAGGUCUUGUUAUAAAUAUUCAGAUGUACAGAUUUUUAAUGAAGAGUUCGGUGGAUGCAUUCUAGAGGAUAAAUGGUCUGUGAAUGGAAACUUUUCUUCCUCAGAGUACAUCAACGUAGCAAUUGCUUGUAUGAAAAACUCUCCGAGACUCAAAUAAAGAGCAGCAGGAUGAGCUCCAAGGCCAGUAAGCCACUUGUAAAUACAAGUGGGCAUAGCAGCUUACAGAAGGCAGCCCAGUAUUUGUGCUGUUCUAAAGGCAUUGGGAACCAGCCAGCAGCUGAGCAGCAGCUAUUUGCAGAACUUGAAGAUCUACUCUUCGUUCUGCUUCUCUGCAAUUUGUCUCCAUUCCUAGACACCUGGUUCACACCCCCCAUACUCUGAUGAGCCACUCUUGGGCUACCGUUUCUUACAGCUGGCUGCUUUCAGCUGUUUCAAAUCUGGGCUGGAAUCACCUGGCUUUAAUUUAAGUAGCAAACAAAGGCAGCCUUCCCUAUGGGUGUGCUUUAGUUUCAUUGGGGUUGAGUUCCACAAAGAAGAAGUGCGCUGAGUGUGAUGCUUUAACAAAAGCAGCAUAUGUCCUAACAAGAAAUAAGGUCCUCUGCUGCUUUCUUCAUAUUGCCAUGCUGUCUUCAAAGGGCGCAUGGACAUCCAGGAGAUGGAUGCUCUGCAAAGCACCUAUGCCUGCAGGGAAAGCCGAAGGCGAAGAGCUGUGUCCUGGUGGCUAUUGCUUCUGUAACAACCACUCAGAUGAGAGAAGCUGAGAUCUUCCUGCUACCAUGGAAAGAAUCCUAGGGAAGAAGACCCAGGGAGAAGGGAGUUGAGAGGUGAGCUGUUCCAAUGAGUGCUGUGCGCCAUCACCAAUGCUUCAGAAGGAAGUAUGGCCUGCCCUCAGUCCUCCUCUGAGCCAACAAGAAAAUCAAAUAUACUAUUUUUAAAGGACUUCCCACGUUUUCCUCAGUGCCCCCGUGCUGCAGCUCUUCUUCAGGCUGGAAUGGUUGGGGUUCCUUCUGCAUCCAUCUGAUGUAGUGGCAUCUCAAAGGCUUUGCGCAGGUGUCCCUUGCUCCCAAGAGGAUGCUAUCAGGGGACAGCAGUGUCCAUGUCAAAUGUACAGACCUGAGGGCCAAAGGGUAAUUAAAAACAUCAUGAAAGUAAUUUGGUCGCUGAACCUGCUGUGGGUCCUGGGCAUCUUAAGGAGCAAAUACCACCAUGGUUUUUUCCCCUCAGGAAUACAAGGCUAACAGGACAACAGCUCAUCUGUGCAAAGCCCUGACUGCUCUCAAUUUGAAAAAAGCCUGUAGCUGAAUCUGCUGCAGUUUUAUAACACAACCACUAUUAAUGUAGCUGUCCAAACAGUUUGUAGGUUAGGGAAAAGAGAAAACUGCAGUACCAGUUCAUUUGUAGGAAGAUCGGAGGAGCAGCACCAGUGCCAUGUCUACAUGCCUUGGAGGGACCUGCUGUGCCAUACAACCAGCACACUUCCUCUACUGAUAUAUAGAGAGUUUAUAUGCAUAUAUAGGUAUGCAUCAGUGUCACAAAGAUUGUAAAAGGAUGGGGGCGUCUAAUGCACUGGUGAUGCAGUGGCACAGCUGCGCUGGAGUGGUGGGGUCACCAUCCCUGGAGGUGUUUCAGAACCAUGGAGAUGUCGCACUGAGGGAUGUGGGCAGCGGGCAUGGUGAGCUGGGCUGGGGUUGGGCUCGGGGGUCUUGGAGAGCUUUUCCUGAAUGAUUCUGUGAGCCUAUGAUCUCUCAUAGAAGGACAGGCUGAGAGAGCUGGCACUGCUCAGCCUGGAGAAGGCUCAGGGGGAUCCCAUCCACAUGUAUAAAUACCUGAUGGGGGCAAUAAGAUGGAACCAUUCUCUUCUCAGUGUUGCCCCAAUGAGGCAACAGGACAGGAAGCAAUGGACAAAGAUGAAAAUAAAACAAAAGUAACAAAAAAAUCCUACAAAAACAAACAAACAAACAAAAAAACAGCAAAAUCAAUCAGGAAAUUCCAUUUAAACAUAAGAAAAUCCUUCUUUAAAUUGCCACCUUGUUUGAACAUGGGAGCAGUUGCACAUUGAGGUGGUGGAUUCUCUGUCCCUGGAGAUGGACAACGCCAGGCUGGAAGCACUGGACAACCUGCUCCAACCAGCCCCGCUCUUUUUGGACCAGACAGUCUCUAGAGCUGCCUCCAGACUCAGUGCAUUUAUUUUAUGUUUCUGUAAUGAUUCUAUAAACUUUGUUUUUCCAAAAACGAUAGUGGGUUUAUCCUGCACAACUUUUAAAUCUGGUAGCUUGUUACAUUUUGUAGCUUCAUUUUGGUCCAUGGGAAGCAUAUUCCUGUGGAUGAAAGAGAUGCAGGGUUUAUUAAUCUGUCCAUUUUACAUUAACUAUCUGGGCAAAAUGAUAGGCAUUUCUUAUUUGAAACUUGUUAUAAAGAAACAUAUGGUCACGUACAUGAAGUGAGAAUAAUUUCAAGUUUGAAAUUCCAUCUAGACGCAGACAUGAAUACCCAAUAGCAACAAAGGAAAUUUGAAAGCAGUUUAGACUAAGCCUGGGGUAUAAUAAUCUGCAAAUGAAAUGCAAAUUCCUCUCAGCAGGAGUGCAAUAUGCUGUUGUCUCAACAGGGGUACUAUUUACUGUUGCUUUGGAAACGUGCAGGAGGGAAGCAUGGGCCAUUGCUUCGACAGAGGGUAAAGGCAGCUUGUACCUUUCUUCUGCUUGAAUUCCAAACCUGGCUUUUGGAAGUGGGCUGUUCACCCUAAUAGGAUGGGUUGUGCAAUAAUUAACAGUAAUUGCAUUCAUAUAAAGUCCUGUGGAAACCUCUGCUCACUCCUGGCCCUUCAUAUCACACAUCAGAACUGCCUUCCUGAUUCCCAACUUAACGCAGUCUUAGAGAUAUCCUCAUUGGGGAGCGAUGCUUAAACACUCCUACAUUCAUUAGAGCUGAACUAUCACUGUACUUCUGACAUCUCUCCAUUGCUGCUGGAUUGCUGGUAAGCAGCUUGACGGCUCUUUCAUCCACAAACAUUCCUCCCUUCAGCUGCUGGUACACAGCACUGUGCCUGGAAACCUUUCACACCUCCAUCUUUAUGGCCACAUAGAAGAAUCGUGUAACUAGAACUGCAAUCUGCAGCCGAUUGCAAUAGAAAAGGAAAUUAGUAUCCUGCAUUUAAUUAAUAUUUGUACUGAGAGAAUUGUUAAAAUCUAGCCAGCUGUUACCAUCCCUUUCAUUACUUUAAAUGUUGAUAACAUUUGUCUCAUACCAAAAAUACUUCAGCAACCAAAGCACUCAUGAAGACCGAUGGUGGAAAUUGAAAGAGAUUGUAUUUAUCACAGCAUCAAAGCUGCAAAUGCAGUGAGUGUGGAUGGGGGCGAGUUCUACUGUGCCAUACAACAGAAUCAGUACCAUUGCUCAGUGCUCCAAUAUUCUCAGAAAGAAAUGACUCCCAUGUUCAGAGAAACCAAACUUGUUUCUAAAGUGACAUAAAUUGUCAUUUCUUAAGUGAUCAGGCAAAAAAGUUAGAAGAAUAGUAACAACAAAAGACUGUCUGGAGAUACACUGUUGUUGUGUUUUAGUGAUUGUUGUUGUCAGUAUUUAACAUUAGAACAUCAUGCAGAACAAUGGCAGUUAAGGUUCUGGUUCCAUGUUACCGCCUUUUUGGGCAUUUUGUGUUCCCGGAGGGGAGGAGCGGCAUCCCCAGCGGACUUGGACAGAAGAGGAAGUAAGAUGGAGCUCUGGACUGGACCCCAGCCGCUCUCUGCCUCUGGCCGUCUUAGCCUGCCGUGGAGAAAAGCACGUGCUUCCCUAGCACUAUCGUGGUUUGACUCGUGCUUUAAAUACUCUCGGCUCUCUCAUUUUGUUUGAUUAAAUUUAGUAAAAUACCAUUCCUCCUCAG
Molecule: long non-coding RNA, 3938 nt
Filed under: Gallus gallus (chicken)
Lineage: Eukaryota; Metazoa; Chordata; Aves; Galliformes; Phasianidae
Description: lncRNA (ENSGALG00010020387.1)
Source: RNAcentral